Small nuclear RNA from Piliocolobus tephrosceles (Ugandan red Colobus), 102 nucleotides. Lineage: Eukaryota; Metazoa; Chordata; Mammalia; Primates; Cercopithecidae. The record is from RefSeq and is a predicted model, not a curated record.
AUACAUCACCCUGUAUCAAAAAAGAAAAAAAAAAUACAGUAAAGAUUAGUAUGGCCCCUGUCCAAGGAUGACACACAAAUUUGUAAAAUGUUUCAUAGUUUU